GACGAACGCUGGCGGCGUGCUUAACACAUGCAAGUCGAACGGAAAGGCCCUGCUUUUGUGGGGUGCCCGAGUGGCGAACGGGUGAGUAACACGUGAGUAACCUGCCCUUGACUUUGGGAUAACUUCAGGAAACUGGGGCUAAUACCGGAUAGGAGCUCCUGCUGCAUGGUGGGGGUUGGAAAGUUUCGGCGGUUGGGGAUGGACUCGCGGCUUAUCAGCUUGUUGGUGGGGUAGUGGCUUACCAAGGCUUUGACGGGUAGCCGGCCUGAGAGGGUGACCGGCCACAUUGGGACUGAGAUACGGCCCAGACUCCUACGGGAGGCAGCAGUGGGGAAUAUUGCACAAUGGGCGGAAGCCUGAUGCAGCAACGCCGCGUGCGGGAUGACGGCCUUCGGGUUGUAAACCGCUUUCGCCUGUGACGAAGCGUGAGUGACGGUAAUGGGUAAAGAAGCACCGGCUAACUACGUGCCAGCAGCCGCGGUGAUACGUAGGGUGCGAGCGUUGUCCGGAUUUAUUGGGCGUAAAGGGCUCGUAGGUGGUUGAUCGCGUCGGAAGUGUAAUCUUGGGGCUUAACCCUGAGCGUGCUUUCGAUACGGGUUGACUUGAGGAAGGUAGGGGAGAAUGGAAUUCCUGGUGGAGCGGUGGAAUGCGCAGAUAUCAGGAGGAACACCAGUGGCGAAGGCGGUUCUCUGGGCCUUUCCUGACGCUGAGGAGCGAAAGCGUGGGGAGCGAACAGGCUUAGAUACCCUGGUAGUCCACGCUGUAAACGGUGGGUACUAGGUGUGGGGUCCAUUCCACGGGUUCCGUGCCGUAGCUAACGCUUUAAGUACCCCGCCUGGGGAGUACGGCCGCAAGGCUAAAACUCAAAGGAGUUGACGGGGCCCCGCACAAGCGGCGGAGCAUGCGGAUUAAUUCGAUGCAACGCGUAGAACCUUACCUGGGUUUGACAUGGAUCGGGAGUGCUCAGAGAUGGGUGUGCCUCUUUUGGGGUCGGUUCACAGGUGGUGCAUGGCUGUCGUCAGCUCGUGUCGUGAGAUGUUGGGUUAAGUCCCGCAACGAGCGCAACCCUUGUUCACUGUUGCCAGCACGUUAUGGUGGGGACUCAGUGGAGACCGCCGGGGUCAACUCGGAGGAAGGUGGGGAUGACGUCAAGUCAUCAUGCCCCUUAUGUCCAGGGCUUCACGCAUGCUACAAUGGCUGGUACAGAGAGUGGCGAGCCUGUGAGGGUGAGCGAAUCUCGGAAAGCCGGUCUCAGUUCGGAUUGGGGUCUGCAACUCGACCUCAUGAAGUCGGAGUCGCUAGUAAUCGCAGAUCAGCAACGCUGCGGUGAAUACGUUCCCGGG
This 1343-nucleotide ribosomal RNA is filed under the name uncultured bacterium. RNAcentral's name for it is "16S ribosomal RNA". It matches the Rfam family "Bacterial small subunit ribosomal RNA", at positions 28 to 1378 of the family's 1533-position model. The record is from RNAcentral.